GACGCGGUCAGCCGAGUCUUGGGGUCUCCAGACACCCGCCAGUCGGUUACCCGCAGCUUUUACCCGACGGCCGCCCCGGGCGCUAGUUACUCAGAGGCCCGCGCAACCGCUUAUUCACGUAGUUGUGCGGGUCUGUAAACCUCCGCUAGGAACGUCCCUUCCCCCUUCGCUGAUUUAUUGUGCACCUGCUAUUUGUCAGUAAAGGGGUUGUUCCACCUCCCAGUGCGGUGCAGGCUCGGGGUACAGGGACUCCCCGGCACUGCUCUCCAACGCCAAGGGCAACAAGAUAGCCGUUUUAUUUUUUGACCCCCUUUAUGGAUCUUCUCCCAAGAGUCUGUGGGUUAGACUGUACAUCAAUUAUCACCCCAAAUUCUAGCCAUACUGCACAGCGACAGGCUUUUUCACUAGCCCUGUUUUUGCAGGUGAGGAAGCAGACCACUGCCAGAUUUGAUGGAAACGUGUCUGUUUUGGGGGGCGCCUGCCUUGAAUACGCACUCCCCUGGUGUUAAUCCUCCACCCCACCACCACCACAACCACCAAAAGGCUUGCUCUGUAAUCUAUUAAGACUUUUUCCCUGAGUGCCACCUACCAGCCGUCUGCUGGGCAUACUGACUCCAGCCAAGACUUGGUUUCUGCCCUUUAAAGUAGAGGGAAAGUAUGGAAGGCUCUGAGCCACUGGUGUGGGUAAUUGGUCAGAUCAGAGGAGGGGUAUAUAUCUCUUUUGGUCUAAGGAGCCUUUUCUUUUUGCCUCUCUCAGCCAUUAAAUCUCUUCAGAAUCCCUUUUCUCAAGCUGGCAACAAAACAGACUUGAACUCCUCCCCUGCCCAUACCCCGCUUCCAAAGACUGUAAAGUCUGUGAAGUAGAUGUUCAUGUCUUGUGGAGCCUGAAUCUUAAAUAAUUUGGAGUGACCUCCGUACGGAAAAGAUUACAGAAUGGUCCUGUGAACACAUUGCUGGGGCUUGGAAAAGGGGCCCAUGUGGUAACGCUGAAAUGUAAACUUCCUUUAACAUCAAGGUAAAUCUGCCCCUGCUUAUUGUAGUAUUAUCAUUAUUUGUUUGCCUGUAGGCUUAUCCCACUGGACUGAGAGUUCCAGGAACCUUGUCUGUGAUUCAUCUCUGCAGCCUCCUCAAGCUGAUAAGGUGGGGAAACUGAGGCACAGACUGCUUAAGGACCUUUAGCAAAGCUACAAAGCCUGAAGUGGCAAACCCGGGAAGGAGGCCCAGCUGCAGCCUAUCUCCAGAGGCCGCAAGCUUAACCACUGCGCCACACUGCCUCUCCAGAUGUUGGAAGCCUAGAUCAAGGCCUUUGUGACUGUAGCCACCAUCUCCCAUGUGUGCACACACGGUCUUUUCUCUGCAUAUGUGUGUGAAGAGAGAGAAAAGGUGGUGCAAGGGGUUAAGCACAGCACUUUGAGUCUAUGUACAGCCUCUGCAGCACGAGUUCAAUCCCCGGCCAGGAAGCUACCCACAUGGCGCAGCAGACCCUUCUGUCUCACCCGCUGCUCCCCUCAGCAGUGUAUUUCAGUCAGUCUUCCUGUUCUGUUCCCCACUCUGUCUCUCGUGAAUCCUCUCACCCCCCUGUACCUCUGGCCUGUACCCCAGUUCUUGUAUGCAUAA
Long non-coding RNA from Talpa occidentalis (Iberian mole), 1617 nucleotides. RefSeq lists it as uncharacterized. Lineage: Eukaryota; Metazoa; Chordata; Mammalia; Eulipotyphla; Talpidae. The record is from RefSeq and is a predicted model, not a curated record. The transcript has 4 exons.